Molecule: long non-coding RNA, 1355 nt
Organism: Felis catus (domestic cat)
Lineage: Eukaryota; Metazoa; Chordata; Mammalia; Carnivora; Felidae
Exons: 2
Source: RefSeq, a predicted model, not a curated record
AUUAGAGCAGGGAGCCAAGUCCUGCAGGGAGCGGUAAUGCGGUCUGGGGAGAAAUCGGGGAGGAAACGGCCUAUUUCGGGACAUCCACAGUCAUCCGAUGAGGGUUUCUGGAGCUCUCCCAAGUGCAGGUGCCGGAGAUACAGACGAUUGUGCAGGAGAUCGACACGGCCCCUCACGGAGCUGACGGUCUCCUGGGAAUGUGCAGUGACAACACGGUGAGCCCGGAAGGCUCACCCGGAAGGCUCAGCCGCGAUCCUGGCUGGCUUUUUUUAACUGGGGCACGACAGGAUUCGACUCUACCCACCUCGCACUUUUUAGGGACACCUCAGUUCUGCUCGUAAAGCCUUCAACUGGUUGGAUGAGACCCACCCACACCAUGGAGGGUAAUCUCCUGGACUACAAAACAGCAGCCAUGGCAAUACCUGGAUUUGGUGCGGUCCCUUGGCCAGGGUGUCACGUGAAACUGCCCAUCGCAAACACAAACUGACGUUCCCAGCAGAGCAGACCUCAUUCCCGCCUUCGCGAGCUGCCUAGCAUCAGGAGAGCUGGGGUGCAGGCUGCCCCCUGCACCGCAGACACACACGGCGGGCCCUCAGUCACCCUCUGAAUGUGUGGGGGCAAGGGCCCCGCCUUCCAGCCUCCCGCCCUAAGGGCGAGACCACUGGGCGAGAAGUCACCGGAAGCUUUCAGCUCUCAGCCCCCGUGGCGCCGCGCGAGCCCUGCUGUUACAGGUGAGAAACUGAGGCCGAGAGCCAGCCCGUAUGACUGUCCGGGGCGCGUGGAUACAGGACCGGACGCGAUCCUAGCGAAGGAGUAACGGGGACCUCACACGCCGUCAGUUCCUCCUCAUUCUGGAUGAUGUGGAGGAGACAGGGCUGCCCAGGCAAUUCGCCGCCUCCCCCACCGCAAAUCCCGUCCACACCCAAGUGUAAGGAAUAUGAUCAGCAAAGGGUUCCCCGUUUCGCGGAGCCGGGAUAUAGGUCUCAGGCAGGUGGGGAUGUGUGAUCCUAGGGGCGACGUUUCCAUGUGUGGGGUGCACCGGCUGGUCGCCUGUGGGCCCCCUGACCUUGGGCACAGCACCCCCUCACUCGGAAGGCAGUGCUGCGUGGAAAGUGCCGUUUCUGGGGGAGGACGCCCACAUGUCCCCGGGCCCCUGCCCUGCUGUGUCCGGCUCUGUGACUUUGGAUGAGAGCCCUUGUCUAUCGGGAACACCGUUUCCUUACCUACCGGCGGGGACGGAGGGUGAAGCGGAGCUCCGAAAUUCUGGGUCUUCGUGGAUACGGAUGUUCAUUCCCUUCAUCACUGACGUUUACUGUCGCCUCGCUUCUGUGUUCAUGACACGUGUUUUGGUUUCA